GAUGAACGCUGGCGGCGUGCCUAAUACAUGCAAGUCGAGCGAACAGACGAGGAGCUUGCUCCUCUGACGUUAGCGGCGGGCGGGUGAGUCACACGUGGAUAACCUACCUAUAAGACUGGGAUAACUUCGGGAAAGCGGAGCUAAUACCGGAUAAUAUAUUGAACCGCAUGGUUCUAUAGUGAUCGAGGGUUUUGCUGUCACUUAUAGAUGGAUCCGAGCCGCAUUAGCUAGUUGGUAAGGUAACGGCUUACCAAGGCUACGAUGCGUAGCCGACCUGAGAGGAUGAUCGGCCACACUGGAACUGAGACACGGUCCAGACUCCUACGGGAGGCAGCAGUAGGGAAUCUUCCGCAAUGGGCGAAAGCCUGACGGAGCAACGCCGCGUGAGUGAUGAAGGUCUUCGGAUCGUAAAACUCUGUAAGUAGGGAAGAACAAAUGUGUAAGUAACGAUGCACGUCUUGACGGUACCAAAUCAGAAAGCCACGGCUAACUACGUG
This 497-nucleotide ribosomal RNA is filed under the name uncultured bacterium. Its description in RNAcentral is "partial 16S ribosomal RNA". It matches the Rfam family "Bacterial small subunit ribosomal RNA", at positions 28 to 507 of the family's 1533-position model. The record is from RNAcentral.